GGCCUUAUAUUCAAAAAUGAUAUUAAAUUGCAAAUUUAAUGGUAGACUUAGUCUUAAGGCUU
RNAcentral lists this transfer RNA (62 nucleotides) under Scirtes orbicularis. RNAcentral describes it as "tRNA-Cys". The record is from RNAcentral. Lineage: Eukaryota; Metazoa; Arthropoda; Insecta; Coleoptera; Scirtidae.